GAUGAACGCUGGCGGCGUGCCUAAUACAUGCAAGUCGAGCGAACAGACGAGGAGCUUGCUCCUCUGACGUUAGCGGCGGACGGGUGAGUAACACGUGGAUAACCUACCUAUAAGACUGGGAUAACUUCGGGAAACCGGAGCUAAUACCGGAUAAUAUAUUGAACCGCAUGGUUCAAUAGUGAAAGACGGUUUUGCUGUCACUUAUAGAUGGAUCCGCGCCGCAUUAGCUAGUUGGUAAGGUAACGGCUUACCAAGGCAACGAUGCGUAGCCGACCUGAGAGGGUGAACGGCCAAAAUGGGACUGAGACACGGUCCAGACUCCUAAGGGAGGCAGCAGUAGGGAAUCUUCCGCAAUGGGCGAAAGGCUGAAGGAGCAACGCCGCGUGAGUGAUGAAGGUCUUCGGAUCGUAAAACUCUGUUAUUAGGGAAGAACAAAUGUGUAAGUAACUAUGCACGUCUUGACGGUACCUAAUCAGAAAGCCACGGCUAACUACGUG
Molecule: ribosomal RNA, 497 nt
Filed under: uncultured bacterium
Lineage: Bacteria
Description: partial 16S ribosomal RNA
Rfam family: Bacterial small subunit ribosomal RNA
Source: RNAcentral